Molecule: ribosomal RNA, 239 nt
Filed under: uncultured bacterium
Lineage: Bacteria
Description: partial 16S ribosomal RNA
Rfam family: Bacterial small subunit ribosomal RNA
Source: RNAcentral
UGGGUAACCUGCCUUAUAGUGGGGGAUAGCCUUUCGAAAGGAAGAUUAAUACCGCAUAAGAUUAUAGUAUCGCAUGAUAUAGCAAUUAAAGGAGCAAUUCGCUAUAAGAUGGACCCGCGUCGCAUUAGCUAGUUGGUGAGGUAAUGGCUCACCAAGGCGACGAUGCGUAGCCGACCUGAGAGGGUGAUCGGCCACAUUGGGACUGAGACACGGCCCAGACUCCUACGGGAGGCAGCAUG